GACGACGCUAGGCGGCGUGGAUUAGGUCAUGCAAGUCGAACGGUAGGAUACCUUCGGGUAUCUGAGAGUGGCGAACGGGUGAGUAACACGUAGGUGAUCUACCCGUCAAGGAUUCGGGACAACCCAGGGAAACUUGGGCUAAUACCGGAUGAAAGCAGCAGUGAUGUUGUUUGAAAGGUGGCGUAAGCUGCCGUUUGGGGAUGAGCCUGCGCUCUAUUAGUUAGUUGGCGGGGUAAAGCCCACCAAGGCGAUGAUAGAUAGGCGGCCUUAACGGGUGGUCGCCCACACUGGGAUUGAGAUACGGCCCAGACUCCUACGGGAGGCAGCAGUCGAGAAUAGUCUACAAUGGCCGAAAGGCUGAUAGUGCGACGCCGCGUGAACGAAGAAGCCCUUCGGGGUGUAAAGUUCUUUUAUAUGUGAGCAGUGCUUUCUAUGUGAACAGCAUGGGGAGAGAGAUAUUAGCAUAUGAAUAAGCAACGGCUAACUCCGUG
This 491-nucleotide ribosomal RNA is filed under the name uncultured bacterium. Its description in RNAcentral is "bacterial SSU rRNA". It matches the Rfam family "Bacterial small subunit ribosomal RNA", at positions 38 to 507 of the family's 1533-position model. The record is from RNAcentral.